UACGAAGGGGACUAGCGUUGUUCGGAAUCACUGGGCGUAAAGCGCACGUAGGUGGAUUUGUAAGUCAGGGGUGAAAUCCCACGGCUCAACCGUGGAACUGCUUGGUAUACUGGUUGUCUUGAGCCACUUAGGGGCAGCCGGAACAGACGGUGGAGCGGUGAAAUGCGUAGAUAUCGUCUGGAACGCCAACGGUGAAAACAGACUGCUGGGAGUGUGCUGACGCUGAGACACGAAAGCCAGGGGAGCAAACGGG
Molecule: ribosomal RNA, 253 nt
Filed under: uncultured bacterium
Lineage: Bacteria
Description: partial 16S ribosomal RNA
Rfam family: Bacterial small subunit ribosomal RNA
Source: RNAcentral